Molecule: long non-coding RNA, 373 nt
Organism: Oncorhynchus keta (chum salmon)
Lineage: Eukaryota; Metazoa; Chordata; Actinopteri; Salmoniformes; Salmonidae
Exons: 2
Source: RefSeq, a predicted model, not a curated record
CUUGGUCCCAAGACUGGAAGGAAAUCAAAAUAUCAUUUCAGGUGAACUAUCAAUAAAACAUUUUAAAAAAGGUUGUGAGGAGUUGUGAUACUAAAGAGCUGUACACAUAUUGACAAGCAAGUCUCAGAGUAACAUAAUCUAGGAUCAGGUCCCAUAUUCACAAACAGUCUCAGAGUAACAGAACUGAACUGGGUCUAGGAUCAGGUCCCAUAUUCACAAACAGUCUCAGAGGAACAGAACUGAACUGGGUCUAGGAUCAGGUCCCAUAUUCACAAACAGUCUCAGAGUAACAGAACUGAACUGGGUCUAGGAUCAGGUCCCAUAUUCACAAACAGUCUCAGAGGAACAGAACUGGGUCUAGGAUCAGGUCCCA